This 201-nucleotide ribosomal RNA is filed under the name uncultured Streptococcus sp. RNAcentral's name for it is "partial 16S ribosomal RNA". It matches the Rfam family "Bacterial small subunit ribosomal RNA", at positions 1183 to 1382 of the family's 1533-position model. The record is from RNAcentral. Lineage: Bacteria; Bacillati; Bacillota; Bacilli; Lactobacillales; Streptococcaceae.
CGUCAAAUCAUCAUGCCCCUUACUGACCUGGGCUACACACGUGCUACAAUGGUUGGUACAACGAGUUGCGAGUCGGUGACGGCGAGCUAAUCUCUUAAAGCCAAUCUCAGUUCGGAUUGUAGGCUGCAACUCGCCUACAUGAAGUCGGAAUCGCUAGUAAUCGCGGAUCAGCACGCCGCGGUGAAUACGUUCCCGGGCCUU